UUGAAUAUGUUCCCGGGUCUUGUACUCACCGCCCGUCAAGUCAUGAAAGGUUGGAGUGCCCAAAGUCCCUUAGUUUCGAACGGGGCCUAAGGUAAAACAACUGAUUGGGACU
Molecule: ribosomal RNA, 112 nt
Filed under: uncultured bacterium
Lineage: Bacteria
Description: partial 16S ribosomal RNA
Rfam family: Bacterial small subunit ribosomal RNA
Source: RNAcentral